GACGAACGCUGGCGGCGUGCCUAAUACAUGCAAGUAGAACGCUGAAGAGAGGAGCUUGCUCUUCUUGGAUGAGUUGCGAACGGGUGAGUAACGCGUAGGUAACCUGCCUUGUAGCGGGGGAUAACUAUUGGAAACGAUAGCUAAUACCGCAUAACAAUGGAUGACACAUGUCAUUUAUUUGAAAGGGGCAAUUGCUCCACUACAAGAUGGACCUACGUUGUAUUAGCUAGUAGGUGAGGUAACGGCUCACCUAGGCGACGAUACAUAGCCGACCUGAGAGGGUGAUCGGCCACACUGGGACGGAGACACGGCCCAGACUCCUACGGGAGGCAGCAGUAGGGAAUCUUCGGCAAUGGGGGCAACCCUGACCGAGCAACGCCGCGUGAGUGAAGAAGGUUUUCGGAUCGUAAAGCUCUGUUGUAAGUCAAGAACGAGUGUGAGAGUGGAAAGUUCACACUGUGACGGUAGCUUACCAGAAAGGGACGGCUAACUACGUG
This 497-nucleotide ribosomal RNA is filed under the name uncultured bacterium. RNAcentral describes it as "partial 16S ribosomal RNA". It matches the Rfam family "Bacterial small subunit ribosomal RNA", at positions 28 to 507 of the family's 1533-position model. The record is from RNAcentral.